GUUGAUUUGGCAGAAGAAUAUUUAUGCAUUAGAUUUAGAAUCCAAUUAUAUAAUUAGAAUUAUAUUCAAUA
RNAcentral lists this transfer RNA (71 nucleotides) under Japanagallia spinosa. RNAcentral describes it as "tRNA-Leu". It matches the Rfam family "tRNA". Rfam says of the family: Transfer RNA (tRNA) molecules are approximately 80 nucleotides in length. Their secondary structure includes four short double-helical elements and three loops (D, anti-codon, and T loops). Lineage: Eukaryota; Metazoa; Arthropoda; Insecta; Hemiptera; Cicadellidae. The record is from RNAcentral.